AUAGAUGUAGUAUGUAAAUACGUAAUAUUAGAAGUAAAUAAGAGAUAAUGUCUACGACUAUGUAAUACUGUAUGCAAUACUAUCUAUGUAAUAAUGUAUCACGGUAUAAGUGUUACAAGUUGAAUGUAUGAUAUACCAGCGUAAUAAUAUGUGUCAAUGUCGCUUGCGAUGUAGAAAUUCCCAGACGGGAGAUUAAGUCAUAAGGUGAAGGUAAACUCGUAAUUUGCUCGAUAUCGUUACACUUUGAUUAACGACUGUAAGGGAAGAGGAAGAAGCGUCAUUGGUAUAUUUACUCGCACGUUUCGAUCUAAUUGACCGGUUGAUUCUCACGAAUCGAUCGUAAGUUUAUUUCUGUCCGUGA
Long non-coding RNA from Bombus impatiens (common eastern bumble bee), 361 nucleotides. RefSeq lists it as uncharacterized. The transcript has 2 exons. Lineage: Eukaryota; Metazoa; Arthropoda; Insecta; Hymenoptera; Apidae. The record is from RefSeq and is a predicted model, not a curated record.